UAACGUGAGCGUCCUAAGGUAGCGCGAUAAUUUGCUUUUCAAUUGAAGGAUGGUAUGAAAGGGUUAACGAAGAAGGUGCUGUGUCUAAAAAUUCAAUUUAAACUAACUUUAAGGUGAAGAGGCCUUUAUGUAAAAGAAGGACGACAAGACCCUAUGAAGCUUUAUCUUAAUUGGAGCUCUCAGGCUCUUAUACGAUUUUGAUGGGAGAUCAGUAGAAAGAAGUCUUCUACUAUCAUAUUAAUCUUACUAGUAUUUCCUAACUUUAUAUGUGUGGCUAGCUACUCUAGGGAUAACAGCGCAAUUUCUCCCGAAAGAUGGUAUUGGAGGGGAAGAUUGCGACCUCGAUGUUGGCUUUAGAUAUCCUAGAGGCGUAGAAGCUUCU
RNAcentral lists this ribosomal RNA (382 nucleotides) under Mytilus galloprovincialis (Mediterranean mussel). Its description in RNAcentral is "partial 16S ribosomal RNA". It matches the Rfam family "Bacterial large subunit ribosomal RNA", at positions 1937 to 2566 of the family's 2925-position model. The record is from RNAcentral. Lineage: Eukaryota; Metazoa; Mollusca; Bivalvia; Mytilida; Mytilidae.